RNAcentral lists this ribosomal RNA (398 nucleotides) under uncultured bacterium. Its description in RNAcentral is "partial 16S ribosomal RNA". It matches the Rfam family "Bacterial small subunit ribosomal RNA", at positions 361 to 776 of the family's 1533-position model. The record is from RNAcentral.
AUAUUUUACAAUGGGCGAAAGCCUGAUCCAGCCAUGCCGCGUGGAUGAUGACGGCNCUNNGGUUGNANAGUCCUUUCGACGGGNNNNNUAAUGACGGUANCCGUAGAAGAAGCCCAGGCUCACUUCGUGCAAGAAGCCGCGGUAAUACGAAGGGGGCUAGCUGUGCUAGGAAUCACUGGGCGGAAAGGGCACGUAGGCGGCUUUUUAAGUCAGGGGUGAAAUCCUGGAGCUCAACUCCAGAACUGCCUUUGAUACUGGAGAGCUUGAGUUCGGGAGAGGUGAGUGGAACUGCGAGUGUAGAGGUGAAAUUCGUAGAUAUUCGCAAGAACACCAGUGGCGAAGGCGGCUCACUGGCCCGAUACUGACGCUGAGGUGCGAAAGCGUGGGGAGCAAACAGG